Callorhinus ursinus (northern fur seal) is the source of this 1533-nucleotide non-coding RNA. The record is from RefSeq and is a predicted model, not a curated record. NCBI's taxonomy places the organism in Eukaryota, Metazoa, Chordata, Mammalia, Carnivora, Otariidae.
AGGCCGCGCUCGCCCCUCGGUCCCGGGGGCCUUGGGGACCGCCCCGGGGGCGUCAGGGUCGGGACACUGGAGUGGCGGCGCCUCCCCGUGGUGUCCUCGCGCCUCUCCCGGGCCUGAGUCCUUUUUGGGAUUCCGGGUCUGGCACCUCGGGGACGCUCAGUCCAGCAGGCCACCUAUGCCAGGUCAGACUUCUCCAAGGGCAGAAAGGGAUAAGGGACCUUCGAGAUACCCCGGGACAGAUGCAGGCCAACCAAGCCAUAGGUCACCCGCCACAUCAGACUGCCUUUGCCCACACCUACUGUGAGGGAUUUAGGAACAGAACCGUCACUAGCCUCCCCCAUAAAGAGUUGACUAUGGUCGGUCAUCUGAGCCCAGCCCAGCGAGGCAGGAGUAUGAAAGGGCUCAAGGCAACCUUUGUCUUUCCAGGACAAGCAAGGAGGUGCAGGGAGCACUGGAGCUGGAGAAUGCCUGGAGGAGGGAAAGCCCAUAAGGCCAAUGUCGUUGACCAGAGGAGGGGCUGAAGGCAGAGUAGACAGGAUGGGGUCGGAGGCAGGCAGAGAUCAGAUCUUGUGAGGUCUCAUAGGUCACUGUGAGGAGUGCAGAUUUCAUUUCAUGGACCAUAGAAAGCCAGGGAAGGGUUUGAAGACGGGCAAUGACCUGAUCUGACCUAUGUUUUUAAUAGACCUUUCUGGCUUGCGGGGAAGAACAGACCAAGGGAGCCCAGGUGGGAGGGUGGUGUGGAAUAAUGGAGUGGCAGUGGGAGUGGAGAGAAGUGGUCAGAUUUGGGAUAUAUUCUGGAAGACGGGCAGACAGGAAUUGCUGAGGGGGAGGAAGAUUCAAAGGCCAUGCGGUGACUGCUGAGGAGUCAGUUCAUGCCCUGAGCAGUGGAGGCUUCCAAGACCAGAAUCAUUGACCCUCCUUUUGGCUGAGCUGGACACAACUUGGAGACCUUCUUGUCUCCCUGGGAUGUUACACCCAUGGAGCCCCAGCCCAGGAGGAUGAGGAAACAUGCCCGUGUCCUGGGCAAAAGCAGAGGUCUCCUAGCUCCCGGUCCAGAACUGGCCUGACCAUGGGCUUUCAUUUAUUUCUUGGGCAAACCAGUGCAAACCUGAAUCAAGGAAACCUCGUUUGAAAUGGAGUCAGGAGGCCAGAAGGGGAAGCUCUCACCCUCUACCACUCCUCAUCUAAUCAAUAGGAAGAGGCAAUACCUUGCAUUCCCCCCAGAAAGAAGCCUGGAUGUUCCUUCCCGGCAUGAGGAAGGAAGAUUUUCUCCUUGCCUGGCAACAGCCUAGCCAAUGAGAGACUGUCACAGCUCAGCCGAUGAAAAGCCACUACACUUAGAACUCCCAGUUUCCUACAGUGGAAUUUUUGUUUAUAACAGCCCUUCCCAACUCCCUGCCUCUAUAAAACGUUCUUCUUUGUUCUCUGGACUUCCCUAUGGUUUUGCCAUAGCUUGAGUGUCCUGAGUUGCAAUUCUCUGCUCUUCCUGAAUAAACCUAUUUUGCUGGUAAAAUAACUGACAGUUUUAUUUGU